UACGAACGCUGGCGGCGCGCCUAACACAUGCAAGUCGAACGAGCGAGAGAGAGCUUGCUUUCUUGAGCGAGUGGCGAACGGGUGGGUAACGCGUGAGGAACCUGCCUCAAAGAGGGGGACAACAGUUGGAAACGACUGCUAAUACCGCAUAAGCCCACGACCCGGCAUCGGGUUGAGGGAAAAGGAGUGAUCCGCUUUGAGAUGGCCUCGCGUCCGAUUAGCUAGUUGGCAGGGUAACGGCCUACCAAGGCGACGAUCGGUAGCCGGCUUGAGAGAGUGAACGGCCACAUUGGGACUGAGACACGGCCCAA
RNAcentral lists this ribosomal RNA (311 nucleotides) under uncultured bacterium. RNAcentral describes it as "bacterial SSU rRNA". It matches the Rfam family "Bacterial small subunit ribosomal RNA", at positions 29 to 334 of the family's 1533-position model. The record is from RNAcentral.